This 452-nucleotide ribosomal RNA is filed under the name uncultured Planctomycetota bacterium. RNAcentral's name for it is "bacterial SSU rRNA". It matches the Rfam family "Bacterial small subunit ribosomal RNA", at positions 384 to 826 of the family's 1533-position model. The record is from RNAcentral. Lineage: Bacteria; Pseudomonadati; Planctomycetota.
UGACGAAGCGACGCCGCGUGGGUGAAGAAGGCCUUCGGGUUGUAAAGCCCUGUCAGGAGUUAUGAAAUGUAAGUGCGCUAAUAUCGUGCUUAUUUGACAAAGGCUCCAAAGGAAGCCACGGCUAACUCUGUGCCAGCAGCCGCGGUAAUACAGAGGUGGCGAGCGUUGUUCGGAAUUAUUGGGCGUAAAGAGCACGUAGGUGGGUUUGCAAGUCAGAUGUGAAAGCCUUCUGUUCAACGGAAGAAUUGCAUCUGAAACUGCUAAUCUUGAGUAUAGGAGGGGAGAAUGGAACUUCUGGUGGAGCGGUGAAAUGCGUAGAUAUCAGAAGGAACGCCGGCGGCCAAAGCGAUUCUCUGGCCUAUUACUGACACUCAGUGUGCGAAAGCUAGGGGAGCAAACGGGAUUAGAUACCCCGGUAGUCCUAGCCGUAAACGAUGGGCACUAAGUAGAGG